This 482-nucleotide ribosomal RNA is filed under the name uncultured bacterium. RNAcentral's name for it is "bacterial SSU rRNA". It matches the Rfam family "Bacterial small subunit ribosomal RNA", at positions 28 to 507 of the family's 1533-position model. The record is from RNAcentral.
GACGAACGCUGGCGGCGUGCCUAAUACAUGCAAGUCGAGCGGGGUUUAUGCAGUGGAGUCCUUCGGGAUGAAGCAGUAUAGACCUAGCGGCGGACGGGUGAGUAACGCGUGGGUAACCUGCCCUAAAGCCCGGGAUAACAGCGGGAAACCGCUGCUAAUACCGGAUACCUUUACCUUGGGGCAUCCUGGGGUAAAGAAAGAAUUUCGCUUUAGGAUGGGCCCGCGUCCCAUUAGCUAGUUGGUGAGGUAACGGCUCACCAAGGCGACGAUGGGUAGCCGGCCUGAGAGGGUGAACGGCCACACUGGGACUGAGACACGGCCCAGACUCCUACGGGAGGCAGCAGUAGGGAAUAUUGCGCAAUGGGCGAAAGCCUGACGCAGCGACGCCGCGUGAGCGAAGAAGGCCUUCGGGUCGUAAAGCUCUGUCCUCAGGGAAGAAGGAAGUGACGGUACCUGAGGAGGAAGCCCCGGCUAACUACGUG